CGCUAGCGGCAGGCUUACACAUGCAAGUCGAGGGGUACAGGGGAGCUUGCUCCCGCUGACGACGGCGCACGGGUGAGUAACGCGUAUGCAACUUGCCUCUAACUGGGACAUAGCUCCCGGAAACGGGAAUUAAUAUUCCAUAAUAUUACAAAUUCGCAUGUUUUUGUAAUUAAAGCUCCGGCGGUUAGAGAUGGGCAUGCGUGCCAUUAGUUUGUUGGUGAGGUAAAGGCUCACCAAGGCUACGAUGGCUAGGGGGUCUGAGAGGAUGGUCCCCCACACUGGUACUGAGACACGGACCAGACUCCUACGGGAGGCAGCAGUGAGGAAUAUUGGUCAAUGGGCGAAAGCCUGAACCAGCCAUGCCGCGUGCAGGAUGAAUGCCCUACGGGUUGUAAGCUGCUUUUGUACAGGAAGAAACGUUCCGACGUGUCGGGAUUUGACGGUACUGUACGAAUAAGCAUCGGCUAACUCCGUGCCAGCAGCCGCGGUAAUACGGAGGAUGCAAGCGUUAUCCGGAUUUAUUGGGUUUAAAGGGUGCGUAGGCGGAAAAGUAAGUCAGUGGUGAAAUCCUGCGGCUUAACCGUAGAAUUGCCAUUGAUACUGUUUUUCUUGAGUAUAGUUGAGGUGGGCGGAAUGUGUAAUGUAGCGGUGAAAUGCUUAGAUAUUACACAGAACACCAAUUGCGUAGGCAGCUCACUAAACUAUUACUGACGCUGAGGCACGAAAGCGUGGGGAGCAAACAGGAUUAGAUACCCUGGUAGUCCACGCUGUAAACGAUGAUCACUCGUUGUUGGCGAUAUAUUGUCAGUGACCAAGUGAAAGCAUUAAGUGAUCCACCUGGGGAGUACGGUCGCAAGAUUGAAACUCAAAGGAAUUGACGGGGGCCCGCACAAGCGGAGGAACAUGUGGUUUAAUUCGAUGAUACGCGAGGAACCUUACCUGGGCUUAAAUGCAGAACGACCGGCCGGGAAACUGGCCUUUCUUCGGACGGACUGCAAGGUGCUGCAUGGUUGUCGUCAGCUCGUGCCGUGAGGUGUCGGGUUAAGUCCCAUAACGAGCGCAACCCUUAUUGUUAGUUGCCAGCGAGUAAUGUCGGGAACUCUAACGAAACUGCCGGUGUAAACCGUGAGGAAGGUGGGGAUGACGUCAAAUCAGCACGGCCCUUAUGUCCAGGGCUACGCACGUGUUACAAUGGCCAGUACAAAGGGCAGCUACCAUGUAAAUGGAUGCUAAUCUCGAAAACUGGUCUCAGUUCGGAUUGAAGUCUGCAACUCGACUUCAUGAAGCUGGAUUCGCUAGUAAUCGCGCAUCAGCCAUGGUGCGGUGAUACGUUCCCGGGC
This 1340-nucleotide ribosomal RNA is filed under the name uncultured organism. RNAcentral's name for it is "bacterial SSU rRNA". It matches the Rfam family "Bacterial small subunit ribosomal RNA", at positions 34 to 1379 of the family's 1533-position model. The record is from RNAcentral.